GUAUCAAAAUCAAUAGAAAUAUGUCCUGAAAUGUUUACUUUUCAUAAACAUAAAUUUUAAUACUACAUAACUAUCCUAAAAGGAAAAAAAGUCCCAUGACCGUGGAUAUGCUCUAACACUGAGCUUCUUGGACCCCAGUGCAAAGAAAGUAAAGUAUUAUGUUAUAGAUUUCUCAUUUGUGGAAGAAUUCCUGUUCUUAAAUCUGGCUCAUUGUUUUUGUAGUGCAAAAUUUUGAGGAUCAUGUUUCUCUCAGGGAAUUGCAUGGGAGUGUUAAGAACUGAGUUGAGUAAUAGUCUUAACUAUAAUUUCGUAGACAAUGCAAAAGUAAGAUCUACAUGGUAUUUUGCUCUACAGUUGGAGACAGUGCAUACACAGUGUUAAAUGGUGAGACUGGAAUAUGGACCUGAGCUCAUGUGCAAAAUCUCAUCAGUGGACAGAGUGUGGUCUCCCAACAAUGAGCCCUAAUGUCACUUGAUUUGUGGACUUCCUAAGCCUCGGGUGAUGUGAAGGUCCUGAACCUGUCUGAGAGCUGAUUAGAGCAUUUCAAGAGCUGAAGUCUUCAUUUGCUGGCAAAAAACUUAACAAUCCUGAUGCGUGAAUGCUUGAGGGUAUCUUUCUCUGGCCAGAGGUUUUCUUCCCAAUGGAGGAGGUAUGGAGGAGAUCUCAUCAGAUGCAGCAUGACAUCCCCAGCUGUUCAUCUUAGCCAUCCUGUGACCCAGGCUGCCUUCUUCUGUGAAUAUUCAUUGCCUGAUGAGACUGCAGCUAAGACUGAAUCCCUGACCUCCAGAAUCUCACAAUUCAUCUGUCCCUAGAACACUGAAGAUUGGAAGACUGAUGGCAUCUUGAAAUUCUGAAGUUCCACUCCUCAUGCCUAUUGCCACUCCAUGUACAUUUAUUAAUCUCCUGUGGAGUUUAUCAGGCAGUUCCACCUGGCAAUACAGCACACUGGUGCAAGAUAAUGACAAAGAGAGAAAAUCCUACAGUUCAGGAGCUCUGGGAACCAAUGUUAUUCAUGGAACUAGAGGCCAUGAAUUCCAAAAGUUCAUGGCUUUUAUCAGUAUCAAUCAGAGAUGUGGGUCGGGGUCAUGGCUGAGCGUUUAGAAAGAGACACUUUGCAGGCAUUGGCUGUACCAGCCACAGAGGCUCUCCAAUUAGACAGGAUAUUUGAUGCUUGCAAAUCUGGAACCUUUCCUUCUUGGAUGGUGUAAUUCUUCCUUAGUCCCAAUGCUUCUGCUGAGAUACUGUCUUAUGUGUUAGCCCUGGAAUUGCAGAGGCCACUCCUGGAGCCCCCAUUCCAGGUGUCAACACUGUGGAUAAUGAUUACCUGGGCUUGAUCUCAUUCUUCUAGCUGGAUAAGGAAACCACCAGCUCCAUAUAACCAGCUCAGCAUAUCUCAAUGAAUAGAGUUGAAGGACAGGCAAAGGGGCUUGUUUCUCUGGAGAGCACAGCUUGGCAGUCUCCCAUAGACAUCAACACAAACUCUCUUGUGACUCAUUCAAGUACAUGACACUUAUCCUCCUUUUACUUUUCUCUCUCAUCUCACAUUCAAUAUGUCUGUAAAGCUUAUUUGCUCUAAUUUUAAAAUAUGACCAGAAUCUGUCCGCCUUUCAAUACAUCUACUGAUGGGUCAAAGCUCUGACAUGUGAGCACAUUCAGACAUGGAUAAAAGUAUCAGAGGAGGUGAAUGGGACUUUUUAAUAUUACUUUGGAAGUAGGGCCCAAAGGCCAACUUUUAGAACAGAUAUUAUUGUCCCAUUAUCAAACUCUUCAUUUUUGAAAGGCCACACCAGGAAACAAGCACCAUCUGAGAACCAGUGCCUUGCAGGCUGCCACUGGUCUGUGGACAGUCAGUCCUCAGCCCCUUCCAGCUUGCAGGAUGACAAACAAGAAGUAUCAGUGCACCCCCCACAAUUUCCCCAACCCAGAAACACAGGCUGUCAUGAUAGCUAUCAAUGUGAAAUGCAAUUGGCUGCCUGUGGUGCUUUGAUGUUUCACUGAUAUUGCAGAUAUAGGGCCAGUGGUCUGAUCGUAGGUUCAGGGGAUAGCUGUACACAAGGUGACAGCUAGAGAGGAUCUCCUUCUGAGGGUUCCAUCCAUUGUUGAUUCUCUAUGGUCUAGUUUUGAAAGUCAUAUAUUAUUUCCAUUCUUUUGUUGGGUUAGGUUUUAUUCUCUCUCUCUUUUUUUUUUUGAUUAUGUUAAGUCGGAUGGCAAGAGCAGCUGUUUCAAAGACAGCAGUAUGUAUUAUGGUAGCAAUUUUGGAUUUACUAUUGGCUUGUUUUGAAUUUCUUUAUUGCAUUUAUUGUUUUUAUUGUUUGUAUUUUACUCUGUUCUGUUUGAUUUUUACUAUGUCCAAAGAUCUCUUCAGCUAUUUUGAAGACAACAAAAGGCAUUCUGUUAAUUAUUGCUGAUUUUGUAAUGUAUUAAAAUGUUGUAUCACUUA
Molecule: long non-coding RNA, 2440 nt
Organism: Cavia porcellus (domestic guinea pig)
Lineage: Eukaryota; Metazoa; Chordata; Mammalia; Rodentia; Caviidae
Exons: 2
Source: RefSeq, a predicted model, not a curated record